AGAGUUUGUUCUNGGCUCAAGAUGAACGCUGGCGGCAGGCUUAACACAUGCAAGUCGAGCGGAAACGAUGGGAGCUUGCUCCCAGGCGUCGAGCGGCGGACGGGUGAGUAACGCGUAGGAAUCUACCCAGUAGUGGGGGAUAGCCCGGGGAAACUCGGAUUAAUACCGCAUACGCCCUACGGGGGAAAGGCCGGGAUCUUCGGACCGGUCGCUAUUGGAUGAGCCUGCGUUGGAUUAGCUAGUUGGUAGGGUAAAGGCCUACCAAGGCGACGAUCCAUAGCUGGUCUGAGAGGAUGAUCAGCCACACUGGAACUGAGACACGGUCCAGACUCCUACGGGAGGCAGCAGUGGGGAAUAUUGGACAAUGGGCGCAAGCCUGAUCCAGCCAUGCCGCGUGUGUGAAGAAGGCUCUAGGGUUGUAAAGCACUUUCAGUAGGGAGGAAGGCCAGAGUGUUAAUAGCGCUUUGGAUUGACGUUACCUACAGAAGCAGCACCGGCUAACUCCGUGCCAGCAGCCGCGGUAAUACGGAGGGUGCAAGCGCUAAUCGGAAUUACUGGGCGUAAAGCGCGCGUAGCCGGUUUGUUAAGUGUGAUGUGAAAGCCCAGGGCUCAACCUUGGAACUGCAUCACAUACUGGCAAGCUAGAGUACGGUAGAGGGGGGUAGAAUUC
Molecule: ribosomal RNA, 670 nt
Filed under: uncultured Gammaproteobacteria bacterium
Lineage: Bacteria; Pseudomonadati; Pseudomonadota; Gammaproteobacteria
Description: bacterial SSU rRNA
Rfam family: Bacterial small subunit ribosomal RNA
Source: RNAcentral